This 1275-nucleotide ribosomal RNA is filed under the name Enterococcus faecium. Its description in RNAcentral is "bacterial SSU rRNA". It matches the Rfam family "Bacterial small subunit ribosomal RNA", at positions 93 to 1355 of the family's 1533-position model. The record is from RNAcentral. Lineage: Bacteria; Bacillati; Bacillota; Bacilli; Lactobacillales; Enterococcaceae.
GAGUGGCGAACGGGUGAGUAACACGUGGGUAACCUGCCCAUCAGAAGGGGAUAACACUUGGAAACAGGUGCUAAUACCGUAUAACAAUCAAAACCGCAUGGUUUUGAUUUGAAAGGCGCUUUCGGGUGUCGCUGAUGGAUGGACCCGCGGUGCAUUAGCUAGUUGGUGAGGUAACGGCUCACCAAGGCCACGAUGCAUAGCCGACCUGAGAGGGUGAUCGGCCACAUUGGGACUGAGACACGGCCCAAACUCCUACGGGAGGCAGCAGUAGGGAAUCUUCGGCAAUGGACGAAAGUCUGACCGAGCAACGCCGCGUGAGUGAAGAAGGUUUUCGGAUCGUAAAACUCUGUUGUUAGAGAAGAACAAGGAUGAGAGUAACUGUUCAUCCCUUGACGGUAUCUAACCAGAAAGCCACGGCUAACUACGUGCCAGCAGCCGCGGUAAUACGUAGGUGGCAAGCGUUGUCCGGAUUUAUUGGGCGUAAAGCGAGCGCAGGCGGUUUCUUAAGUCUGAUGUGAAAGCCCCCGGCUCAACCGGGGAGGGUCAUUGGAAACUGGGAGACUUGAGUGCAGAAGAGGAGAGUGGAAUUCCAUGUGUAGCGGUGAAAUGCGUAGAUAUAUGGAGGAACACCAGUGGCGAAGGCGGCUCUCUGGUCUGUAACUGACGCUGAGGCUCGAAAGCGUGGGGAGCAAACAGGAUUAGAUACCCUGGUAGUCCACGCCGUAAACGAUGAGUGCUAAGUGUUGGAGGGUUUCCGCCCUUCAGUGCUGCAGCUAACGCAUUAAGCACUCCGCCUGGGGAGUACGACCGCAAGGUUGAAACUCAAAGGAAUUGACGGGGGCCCGCACAAGCGGUGGAGCAUGUGGUUUAAUUCGAAGCAACGCGAAGAACCUUACCAGGUCUUGACAUCCUUUGACCACUCUAGAGAUAGAGCUUCCCCUUCGGGGGCAAAGUGACAGGUGGUGCAUGGUUGUCGUCAGCUCGUGUCGUGAGAUGUUGGGUUAAGUCCCGCAACGAGCGCAACCCUUAUUGUUAGUUGCCAUCAUUCAGUUGGGCACUCUAGCAAGACUGCCGGUGACAAACCGGAGGAAGGUGGGGAUGACGUCAAAUCAUCAUGCCCCUUAUGACCUGGGCUACACACGUGCUACAAUGGGAAGUACAACGAGUUGCGAAGUCGCGAGGCUAAGCUAAUCUCUUAAAGCUUCUCUCAGUUCGGAUUGCAGGCUGCAACUCGCCUGCAUGAAGCCGGAAUCGCUAGUAAUCGCGGAUCAGCAC